RNAcentral lists this unclassified non-coding RNA (400 nucleotides) under soil metagenome. RNAcentral's name for it is "partial contains 5.8S ribosomal RNA, internal transcribed spacer 2, and large subunit ribosomal RNA". The stretch from base 1 to 121 matches the Rfam family "5.8S ribosomal RNA", at positions 35 to 154 of the family's 154-position model. The record is from RNAcentral.
GAUGAAGAACGUAGCGAAAUGCGAUAAGUAAUGUGAAUUGCAGAAUUCAGUGAAUCAUCGAAUCUUUGAACGCACCUUGCGCCCCUUGGUUAUUCCAAAGGGCAUGCCUGUUUGAGUAUCAUGAACACCUCAACUCUUGUGGUUUCCCACAAUGAGCUUGGACUGUGGAGGUUUUGUUGGCCCUGUGGUCAGCUCCUCUCAAAUGGAUCAGCUUACCGGUGUUUGGUGGCAUUACGGGUGUGAUAACUAUCUACGCUCGUGGUCGUCUCCAAAUAACCUCCAGUGAUGGAGGUUCGCUGGAGCUUAUAAAUGUCUCUCCCAGUGAAGACAGCCUUUGAACGUUCGAUCUCAAAUCAGGUAGGACUACCCGCUGAACUUAAGCAUAUCAAUAAGCGGAGGA